UAGGGUGCGAGCGUUAAUCGGAAUUACUGGGCGUAAAGCGAGCGCAGACGGUUAGUUAAGCAAGAUGUGAAAUCCCCGGGCUCAACCUGGGAACUGCGUUUUGAACUGGCUGGCUAGAGUGUGUCAGAGGGGGGUAGAAUUCCACGUGUAGCAGUGAAAUGCGUAGAGAUGUGGAGGAAUACCGAUGGCGAAGGCAGCCCCCUGGGAUAACACUGACGUUCAUGCUCGAAAGCGUGGGUAGCA
Molecule: ribosomal RNA, 243 nt
Filed under: uncultured bacterium
Lineage: Bacteria
Description: partial 16S ribosomal RNA
Rfam family: Bacterial small subunit ribosomal RNA
Source: RNAcentral